UACGGAUGGUGCGAGCGUUGUUCGGAAUCACUGGGCGUAAAGGGCGCGUAGGCGGCACUGUAAGUCAGAUGUGAAAGCCCAGGGCUCAACCCUGGACGUGCAUCUGAAACUGCAGAGCUAGAGUACUGGAGGGGAAAGUGGAAUUCCCGGUGUAGAGGUGAAAUUCGUAGAGAUCGGGAGGAAUACCGGUGGCGAAGGCGACUUUCUGGACAGAUACUGACGCUGAGGCGCGAAAGCGUGGGGAGCAAACAGG
RNAcentral lists this ribosomal RNA (253 nucleotides) under uncultured bacterium. RNAcentral describes it as "partial 16S ribosomal RNA". It matches the Rfam family "Bacterial small subunit ribosomal RNA", at positions 524 to 776 of the family's 1533-position model. The record is from RNAcentral.